UACCCAUUGAUUGAUCGCCCGUAGAGC
This 27-nucleotide non-coding RNA is filed under the name Homo sapiens (human). The record is from RNAcentral. Lineage: Eukaryota; Metazoa; Chordata; Mammalia; Primates; Hominidae.